UAAUACAUGCAGUCGAACGAACUUCCGUUAAUUGAUUAUGACGUACUUGUACUGAUUGAGAUUUUAACACGAAGUGAGUGGCGAACGGGUGAGUAACACGUGGGUAACCUGCCCAGAAGUAGGGGAUAACACCUGGAAACAGAUGCUAAUACCGUAUAACAGAGAAAACCGCAUGGUUUUCUUUUAAAAGAUGGCUCUGCUAUCACUUCUGGAUGGACCCGCGGCGUAUUAGCUAGUUGGUGAGGUAAAGGCUCACCAAGGCAGUGAUACGUAGCCGACCUGAGAGGGUAAUCGGCCACAUUGGGACUGAGACACGGCCCAGACUCCUACGGGAGGCAGCAGUAGGGAAUCUUCCACAAUGGACGCAAGUCUGAUGGAGCAACGCCGCGUGAGUGAAGAAGGGUUUCGGCUCGUAAAGCUCUGUUGUUAAAGAAGAACGUGGGUAAGAGUAACUGUUUACCCAGUGACGGUAUUUAACCAGAAAGCCACGGCUAACUACGUGCCAGCAGCCGCGGUAAUACGUAGGUGGCAAGCGUUAUCCGGAUUUAUUGGGCGUAAAGCGAGCGCAGGCGGUCUUUUAAGUCUAAUGUGAAAGCCUUCGGCUCAACCGAAGAAGUGCAUUGGAAACUGGGAGACUUGAGUGCAGAAGAGGACAGUGGAACUCCAUGUGUAGCGGUGAAAUGCGUAGAUAUAUGGAAGAACACCAGUGGCGAAGGCGGCUGUCUGGUCUGCAACUGACGCUGAGGCUCGAAAGCAUGGGUAGCGAACAGGAUUAGAUACCCUGGUAGUCCAUGCCGUAACGAUGAUUACUAAGUGUUGGAGGGUUUCCGCCCUUCAGUGCUGCAGCUAACGCAUUAAGUAAUCCGCCUGGG
This 872-nucleotide ribosomal RNA is filed under the name Pediococcus pentosaceus. Its description in RNAcentral is "bacterial SSU rRNA". It matches the Rfam family "Bacterial small subunit ribosomal RNA", at positions 49 to 877 of the family's 1533-position model. The record is from RNAcentral. Lineage: Bacteria; Bacillati; Bacillota; Bacilli; Lactobacillales; Lactobacillaceae.